RNAcentral lists this ribosomal RNA (406 nucleotides) under uncultured bacterium. Its description in RNAcentral is "partial 16S ribosomal RNA". It matches the Rfam family "Bacterial small subunit ribosomal RNA", at positions 30 to 526 of the family's 1533-position model. The record is from RNAcentral.
AUUGAACGCUGGCGGCAGGCCUAACACAUGCAAGUCGAACGAGUGGCGGACGGGUGAGUAAUGUCUGGGAAACUGCCUGAUGGAGGGGGAUAACUACUGGAAACGGUAGCUAAUACCGCAUAACAUAGGAUGUGCCCAGAUGGGAUUAGCUAGUAGGUGGGGUAAAGGCUCACCUAGGCGACGAUCCCUAGCUGGUCUGAGAGGAUGACCAGCCAAACGGGACCGGAGACACGUGCCAGACUCCUACGGGAGGCCGCAGGGGGGAAUAUUGCACAAUGGUCGCAAGCGUGAUGCAGCCAUGCUGCGUGUAUGAAGAAGGCCUUCGGUUUGUAAAGUACUUUCAGCGGGGAGGCGUUACCCGCAGAAGAAGCACCGGCUAACUCCGUGCCAGCAGCCGCGGUAAUUC